CUUAACUUCAAUAUUUUCCUGCUGAGCCUGAGAGUGCUUUGUAUACCCUAGCAAGAUGAAAAUCUUAGCUGCAGCAUCAGGAAGAGGACACCUCACUUUAUCCUACAUUCCUAUCUCAGUCAGGAAAGUAGCUCUAGAGAAGGAACUAAGAAGUCAAGGCCUUUUGUGAAGUUGCUCUGUUAUCUCUGUGGCCCCAAAGACCAAAAUGAUGGAGAAAAUGAAACCAGGAUGAUUUCUGACAUCUGCUUCCACUCCACCUUCUUUAACCACUUCAUCCACAUCUCUCUUAGCUUCUCACAUAAGUCUCACCUGGAAUCAUCUUAUUUACACCAAUAAAUUUACCUACCACCUGCCUGUUGAUUGCCAAA
RNAcentral lists this long non-coding RNA (368 nucleotides) under Homo sapiens (human). RNAcentral describes it as "non-protein coding LINC02464:5". The record is from RNAcentral. Lineage: Eukaryota; Metazoa; Chordata; Mammalia; Primates; Hominidae.